UACGGGGGGGGCAAGCGUUGUUCGGAAUUACUGGGCGUAAAGGGCUCGUAGGCGGCCAACUAAGUCAGACGUGAAAUCCCCAGGCUCGACCUGGGAACUGCGUCUGAUACUGGUUGGCUUGAAUCCGGGAGAGGGAUGCAGAAUUCCAGGUGUAGCGGUGAAAUGCGUAGAUAUCUGGAGGAAUACCGGUGGCGAAGGCGGCAUCCUGGACCGGCAUUGACGCUGAGGAGCGAAAGCCAGGGGAGCAAACGGG
This 253-nucleotide ribosomal RNA is filed under the name uncultured bacterium. Its description in RNAcentral is "partial 16S ribosomal RNA". It matches the Rfam family "Bacterial small subunit ribosomal RNA", at positions 524 to 776 of the family's 1533-position model. The record is from RNAcentral.